CAGUUCUUAGGAUAAUGCUUUGUUCAAAAGCAUUUUAAAAAUUAUUAUUUUAUCCCCCUAACCUCCCCAUGUGGCAGUUCCACACUCUGAUUCCCAUUUUAAACACCGAAACAUGAGAGACAAGGUUAAGUCAUCUGCCCCACGUUACACACAGCUCGGCCCUCAGCCGGGUUCUGUCCAGCCGGUGCCUGGAGAUGCCCCCAAGCCGGCGGGCCGGGGUUACCGCAGAGAUGCCGGCUCCAGGCUUGGCCAAACGGUGAAGGAUCAGUGGUCCAACAGCACAACCAAACUCUAACCACACAUGCGGGGGCGUUUAUACCCCGGGUCCUCUGACCGGCAACUCCCCAAAGAAGGAUUUAUUUCAGAAGCAUUAGCAUUUGGAAGGGUUUUCAAGACUUGCGUGUUAACGUAACAUGUUAACCGCCCCCCGCCCCCCAAGUGAGAGGACCGCACCCUUCCGAGGGACCAAAGUCGCCCUGAAGACCGAGAGAAGGUUCCUCUUCCUGAUGGGCAAGCCUAAGAACCAGAGUCGCCGGUGCUCCCGGGCGCCGCACAGCCGCCGAGCCGCGCGGGAGGGAGCGCUCCGCAUCGCGGCGGGUGCACCUCGCCCGGGAGAAACACGCGACCACCCCGCGCACCGGCCGAAGCCGGGUUGGAGCAUCUCUCUCCGAGGUGCCCGCGGACGCCCCAGGCUGGCCGUGUCCCCAUCGCAGCCACCUGCCCGCGCCGGCCCUCCGCCGGCCCCCGGCGCCCGAGCGGCCCUCACCUGAUCCGGAGAUGUGGACGCGGAGCGGGCGGCCCCGACUCGAGCACGACGACAG
RNAcentral lists this long non-coding RNA (821 nucleotides) under Capra hircus (goat). Its description in RNAcentral is "lncRNA (ENSCHIG00010004022.1)". The record is from RNAcentral. Lineage: Eukaryota; Metazoa; Chordata; Mammalia; Artiodactyla; Bovidae.